RNAcentral lists this unclassified non-coding RNA (408 nucleotides) under Hevea brasiliensis (rubber tree). Lineage: Eukaryota; Viridiplantae; Streptophyta; Magnoliopsida; Malpighiales; Euphorbiaceae. The record is from RNAcentral.
AUGGAUAUGGUCAACUUUUAUUGGUGUUUGGUUAAUUGCAAGCAAAAUUGUGAGCAUGUGUAUGUGUAGUAGGACCAAUCCUGCAAUUUACCAACUUUUGUUUUAUGAUGGUAAGCCUAUGACUGAUUUCUGUCUAUGCUUUUAACAGUUAAUCUAUAACUUAUAUUAAAUAUAACUUUACGUAUACAAUGAGCAUACUCUAGGUUUUGUGAAACUGAAUAAUGUCAUUGUGACUUAAUGGGCGCUGCACAAGGAAAAUUUAUUUUUAUUUCUAUUUUGACUGUGAUUGGGCAUGUGUUGUAAUGCUUGUAUGACUGUUUUUAAGACAAAUUAUUUUCCUCUUCUUUCUCUAUUAUGAUUCUUGGUUUUACACUUUUACUGCCUCUAUGCAAGUUAGCUUGAUUUGCA